UGGGCGCAGCCUGAUGCAGCCAUGCCGCGUGUGUGAAGAAGGCCUUCGGGUUGUAAAGCACUUUCAGUAAGGAGGAAAGGUUAAGUGUUAAUAGCACUUAGCUGUGACGUUACUUACAGAAGAAGCACCGGCUAACUCCGUGCCAGCAGCCGCGGUAAUACGGAGGGUGCGAGCGUUAAUCGGAAUUACUGGGCGUAAAGCGUACGCAGGCGGUUUGUUAAGCGAGAUGUGAAAGCCCCGGGCUCAACCUGGGAACUGCAUUUCGAACUGGCAAACUAGAGUGUGAUAGAGGGUGGUAGAAUUUCAGGUGUAGCGGUGAAAUGCGUAGAGAUCUGAAGGAAUACCGAUGGCGAAGGCAGCCACCUGGGUCAACACUGACGCUCAUGUACGAAAGCGUGGGGAGCAAACAGGAUUAGAUACCCUGGUAGUCCACGCCGUAAACGAUGUCUACUAGAAGCUCGGGUCUUCGGACUUGUUUUUCAAAGCUAACGCAUUAAGUAGACCGCCUGGGGAGUACGGCCGCAAGGUUAAAACUCAAAUGAAUUGACGGGGGCCCGCACAAGCGGUGGAGCAUGUGGUUUAAUUCGAUGCAACGCGAAGAACCUUACCUACACUUGACAUACAGAGAACUUACCAGAGAUGGUUUGGUGCCUUCGGGAACUCUGAUACAGGUGCUGCAUGGCUGUCGUCAGCUCGUGUUGUGAGAUGUUGGGGUUAAGUCCCGCAACGAGCGCAACCCCUAUCCUUAGUUGCCAGCGAUUCGGUCGGGAACUCUAAAGAGACUGCCGGUGAUAAACCGGAAGAAGGUGGGGGGACGACGUCAAGUCAUCAUGGCCCUUA
RNAcentral lists this ribosomal RNA (840 nucleotides) under Pseudoalteromonas sp. HDP5. Its description in RNAcentral is "bacterial SSU rRNA". It matches the Rfam family "Bacterial small subunit ribosomal RNA", at positions 372 to 1204 of the family's 1533-position model. Lineage: Bacteria; Pseudomonadati; Pseudomonadota; Gammaproteobacteria; Alteromonadales; Pseudoalteromonadaceae. The record is from RNAcentral.